Molecule: ribosomal RNA, 439 nt
Filed under: uncultured bacterium
Lineage: Bacteria
Description: partial 16S ribosomal RNA
Rfam family: Bacterial small subunit ribosomal RNA
Source: RNAcentral
CUACGGGUGGCACCAGUGAGGAAUAUUGCACAAUGGGGGGAACCCUGAUGCAGCAACGCCGCGUGGAGGAUGACGCAUUUCGGUGUGUAAACUCCUUUUAUAUGUCAAGAAAAUGACGGUAGCAUAUGAAUAAGCACCGGCUAACUCCGUGCCAGCAGCCGCGGUAAUACGGAGGGUGCAAGCGUUACUCGGAAUCACUGGGCGUAAAGGACGCGUAGGCGGGUUGGAAAGUCAGGUGUGAAAUCCUACAGCUUAACUGUAGAACUGCACUUGAAACUUCUAAUCUAGAGUAUGGGAGGGGGAGAUGGAAUUAGUGGUGUAGGGGUAAAAUCCGUAGAUAUCACUAGGAAUACCUAAAGCGAAGGCGAUCUCCUGGAACAUUACUGACGCUAAGGCGUGAAAGCGUGGGGAGCAAACAGGAUUAGAUACCCUAGUAGUC